GAAGAAAACAGCCGCAAGAAGAAAAUAGGAGGGAGCAACAGAAAGAAGAAGAGAGGUACGCAGCUCCCAUAUAAGAAAGAAAGGUUUUGUGAAUGCAAAUUCUGCAUGCUGCCAUGUGGCGGGGCGCUUCGGGGGUCUUAUUCCGUGCGGCCCUCCGUCCGAAGUUUGCAGGGAGAUAUCUAAGUACAUAUUAUGGGAUCCCUACCAUCCUUCUGAUGCUGCUAAUUUAAUCAUAGCAAGGCGUCUCUUGUAUGGGAACUCCAAUGACAUUUCGCCCAUCAAUGUUCUCCAACUUAUUCAGUCUUAAUUAAAUCUGUUGGCUAAAGUAAGAGAACAAAUCAAAUGAAUGAUGUUAAUUCUUCAGUAGUUAUUUAAUUAUUAUUUUUCUUCUUCUUCU
RNA transcript from Malus domestica (apple), 397 nucleotides. It is a transcript of the gene named GDSL esterase/lipase At4g16230-like, with no coding region annotated. NCBI's taxonomy places the organism in Eukaryota, Viridiplantae, Streptophyta, Magnoliopsida, Rosales, Rosaceae. The record is from RefSeq and is a predicted model, not a curated record.